CUACGGGUUGCUGCAGUGAGGAAUUUUGCGCAAUGGGGUGACCCCUGACGCAGCAACGCCGCGUGAGUGAUGAAGGCCUUUGGGUCGUAAAGCUCUGUCAAGUGGAAAGAAGUUAUGUAAUGUAAAUAGCAUUAUGUAUUGACGGUACCGCUAAAGGAAGCACCGGCUAACUCCGUGCCAGCAGCCGCGGUAAUACGGAGGGUGCAAGCGUUAUUCGGAAUUAUUGGGCGUAAAGGCGCGUAGGCGGCCAAACGAGUCAGAUGUGAAAUCCCUGAGCUCAACUCAGGAAGAGCAUUUGAUACAGUAUGGCUUGAGUAUGGGAGAGGGAAGUGGAAUUCCUGGUGUAGAGGUGAAAUUCGUAGAUAUCAGGAGGAACACCGGUGGCGAAGGCGACUUUCUGGACCAAUACUGACGCUGAGGCGCGAAGGCGUGGGUAGCAAACAGGAUUAGAUACCCUGGUAGUC
RNAcentral lists this ribosomal RNA (464 nucleotides) under uncultured bacterium. RNAcentral's name for it is "partial 16S ribosomal RNA". It matches the Rfam family "Bacterial small subunit ribosomal RNA", at positions 339 to 795 of the family's 1533-position model. The record is from RNAcentral.